This 496-nucleotide small RNA is filed under the name Leptosphaeria sp. F0701. RNAcentral describes it as "eukaryotic LSU rRNA". The stretch from base 135 to 288 matches the Rfam family "5.8S ribosomal RNA". The record is from RNAcentral. Lineage: Eukaryota; Fungi; Ascomycota; Dothideomycetes; Pleosporales; Leptosphaeriaceae.
CGAUUAAGGGAUUGGUCUUGCUGCACCCUUGUCUUUUGCGUACCGUAUGUUUCCUCGGCGGGCUUGCCUGCCGGUUGGACAUUAUCAAACCUUUUUGUAGUUGCAAUCAGCGUCAGAAAACAAAUAAUAAUUACAACUUUCAACAACGGAUCUCUUGGUUCUGGCAUCGAUGAAGAACGCAGCGAAAUGCGAAAAGUAGUGUGAAUUGCAGAAUUCAGUGAAUCAUCGAAUCUUUGAACGCACAUUGCGCCCCUUGGUAUUCCAUGGGGCAUGCCUGUUCGAGCGUCAUUUUGUACCCUCAAGCACUGCUUGGUGUUGGGCGUUUGUCCUGCAAAGGACUCGCCUGAAAGCGAUUGGCGGCCAACGUACUGGUGGUAGAGCGCAGCACAAUUUGCGUCUCUCCCUUCUACGAUGGCGUCCAUGAAGCCUUAUUCAAACGUUUGACCUCGGAUCAGGUAGGGAUACCCGCUGAACUUAAGCAUAUCAAUAAGCGGAG